Molecule: ribosomal RNA, 425 nt
Filed under: uncultured bacterium
Lineage: Bacteria
Description: bacterial SSU rRNA
Rfam family: Bacterial small subunit ribosomal RNA
Source: RNAcentral
GAAUUUUUCGCAAUGGGCGCAAGCCUGACGAAGCAACGCCGCGUGGAGGAUGAAGGUCUUCGGAUUGUAAACUCCUGUCGACCGGGACGAAUGCACUCGACCUAAUACGUCGGAAUGUUGACGGUACCGGUGGAGGACGCCACGGCUACCUCCGUUCCAGCCGCCGCGGUAAUACAGAGGUGGCAAGCGUUGUUCGGAAUUACUGGGCGUAAAGGGCGCGUAGGCGGCCUUGUAAGUCUCGUGUGAAAGCCCUCGGCUCAACGGAGGAUCUGCACGGGAUACUGCGAGGCUUGAGUUCGGGAGAGGAAAGCGGAAUUCCGGGUGUAGCGGUGAAAUGCGUAGAUAUCCGGAGGAACACCAGUGGCGAAGGCGGCUUUCUGGACCGACACUGACGCUGAGGCGCGAAAGCUAGGGGAGCAAACGGG